This 253-nucleotide ribosomal RNA is filed under the name uncultured bacterium. RNAcentral describes it as "partial 16S ribosomal RNA". It matches the Rfam family "Bacterial small subunit ribosomal RNA", at positions 524 to 776 of the family's 1533-position model. The record is from RNAcentral.
UACGAAGGGGGCAAGCGUUGUUCGGAAUUAUUGGGCGUAAAGGGCGCGUAGGCGGUUUGACAAGUCUGAUGUGAAAUCUAUGGGCUCAACCCAUAGCCUGCAUUAGAAACUGUCGGGCUUGAGUAUGGGAGAGGUGAGUGGAAUUUCCGGUGUAGCGGUGAAAUGCGUAGAUAUCGGAAGGAACACCUGUGGCGAAAGCGGCUCACUGGACCAUAACUGACGCUGAGGCGCGAAAGCCAGGGGAGCAAACGGG